Molecule: ribosomal RNA, 467 nt
Filed under: uncultured bacterium
Lineage: Bacteria
Description: partial 16S ribosomal RNA
Rfam family: Bacterial small subunit ribosomal RNA
Source: RNAcentral
GAUGAACGCUGGCGGCGUGCUUAACACAUGCAAGUCGAACGGAAAGGCCCAAGCUUGCUUGGGUACUCGAGUGGCGAACGGGUGAGUAACACGUGGGUGAUCUGCCCUGCACUUCGGGAUAAGCCUGGGAAACUGGGUCUAAUACAGGAUAGGACCACAUUUUGGAUGGUGUGGUGGAAAGUUUUUCGGUGUGGGAUGAGCUCGCGGCCUAUCAGCUUGUUGGUGGGGUAAUGGCGUACCAAGGCGUCGACGGUGAGCCGGCAUGAGAGGGUGUACGGCCACAUUGGAACUGAGAUACAGCCCAGACUCCGACGGGAGGCAGCAGGGGGGAAUAUUGCACAAUGGGCGCAAGCCUGAUGCAGCGACGCCGCGUGGGGGAUGACGGCUUUCGGGUUGUAAACUCCUUUCGCUAGGGACGAAGCGUUUUUGUGACGGUACCUGGAGAAGAAGCACCGGCUAACUACGUG